AUGGCGACCGUCGGGGCGGCGCUCGGGGGCAUGCUCGCCUCAGCCGUCAUCAAGGUGGUGAUAGGACAGAUCAGUUCUACCAUCGCUGGGGAGAUCAACCUGCAUAAGAACAUAAAGAAGGAUCUGGAGAAGAUGAAGAUGACGCUCGAGUCAGUGGAGGCCGUGCUCAGCGACGCUGAGAGGCGUUCUAUCACCGAUAACUCGGCGCUUCUGUGGCUGAAGCGGCUCAAAGACGCCAUGAACGACAUCUCCGACAUGCUUCAAGAUUUUGAAGCUGACACCAACUUCAACCUGUUGGCAAGUACGAUGAAGAAGAUUAAGAUGCCACACAAGAUGAAGGAGAUGCAAAAGCGCCUACAGAAGAUAACAUAUGACCGUAACAAUUAUCGUGUUCUGCCAGAAGCUCGCAGCGAGGAGCAGCUAGUUCGUGAUAUCCGGGAAACAGCAGGGAAUGCGGAGGAAGCAGAAAUCAUCGGGAGGAGUGAAGAAAAACUGAAAAUCUUGGCUUGUUUAUCUGAGAACAGCACUCAAGGCACCACCAUCUUUCCCAUAUGGGGCUUUGGAGGCAUUGGAAAGACCACCUUGGCAAGAUCGGUUUUCAACAAUUCCCAGUUCAAAGAAUACUAUCGGGUGUGGGUCUAUGUGUCCCAGACAUUUGACUUGAAAAAAAUUGGCAACAUUAUAAUAUCGCAGCUGUCACAGCAGAGCCAAAUAUCUGAUUUACAUAGUAUCCAUACUCGUCUUCAAGAGUUGUUUACUGGUAAGAGGAUCCUGAUCAUUUUGGAUGACCUGUGGGAGAAGCAUCCUUCUCAACUAGAACAAUUGAAGGCUAUGCUGAAGCAGGGUGAGGGGAGCAAGGUGAUGGUUGUGGUAACCACACGCGAAGAAAACAUUGCAAAGGAAAUUGGUACUGUUGCUCCAUACGAAUUAUCUCCCUUCACCGAUGAAAUGUGCUGGGAUAUUAUUAAGCAAAAAUGCAACUUUGAGGCUUGUCCUGACAAAGAGCGUUUGGAGCCGAUUGGGAAGGAAAUUGCAAAGAAGUGUGGAGGUGUGCCUUUAGCUGCUCAAUCACUUGGACACAUGUUGAAAUUCAUGCCGUGUGAAAUGUGGGAUUCGGUUAGAACCAAUCAUAUUUGGGAACUGUCUAUUUCCAAAGAUACACCAAAUACACAUGAAGUGCUGGCAUCCUUGCUGUUAAGCUACAACUUCAUGCCUCCACGCUUGAAGCUAUGCUUUGGUUAUAGUGCAAUCUUUCCAAAAGGUCAUGAUAUUAUUGAAGAUGAUCUAAUUUAUCAAUGGAUUGCUCUUGGAUUCAUAGAGCCAUCUAGUGCGUUCUCUACCUGGCAUGUCGGUCAAAAUUAUUUUAGGAAGCUUCUGGAGAUGUCUUUUCUUCAACAUUCAAAGGCUGACAAUAGAACUCUCAAAAGAAAACAUGUUCCAAGGUUCACUAUGCAUGACCUGGUGCAUGACCUUGCAAGAUCGGUCAUGGCUGAUGAAUUUGACUUGGAGGGCCCGAACUGCCGUUAUGCAUGGCGGACUCGCGCAGAUUUUAAGCCAUUAAAGCCAUCCACGACUUCACCUGCAAAGCUAAGGGCGCUGCAUAUUAUGGACCAUACCUACACAAGAAUUCAGUUCCAUCAUGAUGUAGAUUCACCAGCUAAGUACAUCCAUGUCUUAGAUUUAAGCACAGACUGUUCCCAUGAGUUGCCAGAUUCAAUUGGUCAAUUUAAGCAGUUGAGGUAUCUUAGGGCUCCAUCAUUUCAGGGUAGAAUGAAUCCAAGGUUUUUUCGUAUGCUCUCAAAGUUGAAUUAUCUCAACCUUCAUUGCUGUCAUGAGCUCUCAGCAUUGCCAGAGUCGAUUGGCGAAAUGAAAUGUCUGAUGCAUCUUGACUUAUCACGUUGUAUACACCUACAAGAACUCCCAUUGUCAUUUGGGAAUCUCAGAGAGUUGCUAUAUCUGGAUUUGUCAAACUGUAAUGGUCUUUUAGGGAUACCCCAAGCUUUGGGUGGCCUUAACAAACUCCAACAUUUGGACUUAUCAUCAUGCAAAAAUCUCAGAGGGCUGCCAGACGUCAUCCGCAAGCUCACUGAACUCUGCUAUUUGAAUCUAUCAGGGUCCAUGCAUCAUAUCUUUGACAGUUCAUCAACAGAUCAAGCUGAGAGUUUCAUUCACUAUAUCUGCAUGCUUCCCAAUAUGAAGCAGCUGGACUUGUCUUCCCAAGGUGAAUAUUCUCUUAGUAUACCAGAUAGUGCUAGCCGCCUCAGCAAGUUGGUCCUGAAUUGGUGCCGCCAUGUUACUAGGAUUCCAGAAUGUGUGGCUAAAAUGGAUAGGCAAAGCCUUUUUGGCUUGUUGCCGGAAUUUUUUGUAUAUUCAGAUGCUACUGAAUCUAACAGCAACCUUGGGUUGCUUGAGCAUAUAAAUCCUGAACAGCUGUGUAUCAGGAUGCUUGGAAAUGUGAGGUUCUUGGAAGAGGCACGCAUUAUAAAUCUGCGUAAGAAACAGAGAAUUGGGGAACUGAGAUUAGGGUGGCUCGAAGAUGCAAAGAGAUACGUGGACGACAUGGAGUUGCUGAGGGAGCUAGUGCCACCAACCACUCUGCAGAGGUUUGAGAUAUCUGGUUAUAGUAGUGUGAGCUUUCCGGACUGGCUAAUGAGUAUCAGAAAUUAUCUCCCUAAUCUUGUGCGCGUGGAGAUGUCUAAUUUGCCAAACUGUAACAGUCUACCACCCCUUGGCCAUCUACCAAAUCUCCGAGAGCUUAUUCUGGGUGCGAUGAAAAGCCUGGAAGAAUGGAACAUAGCAUACUCGAAUGGCGAGGAUAGUCCGGAUGAGCUCAUGUUCCCUAAGCUUGAGGAAGUGAUUAUAUAUAAUUGCCCCAAGUUGAGGAUAAAACCACACCUUCCUAGAGCUUCCUCUUGGAGUAUAACAAGAAGUGAUAGUGUGCUUAUCUCAUGGGGAGAGAGCGUGUCACACACCGGUGCUUCCUCAUCUUCUUCUCCAGUAUCCACUACUCUGGAAGUUACAGGCAGCAAGUUGCCUCUGCAACAGUGGAGUUUGCUUCACCACCUACCUGCCCAUAGUGAUUUGGAUAUCUAUGGUUGCAGUGAUUUAGCAAUCUCACCAGAGAUCAUCCAGGCCCUCCACUCCCUCAAAUCACUGAAACUGGAUAUACGAGACUCAGACCAUGCAGAACUGAUCGAGUGGUUCACAUACCUCACGUAUCUUCAGCAGCUGUCAUUACUGAACUACAACAAGCUAGAGGAAUUGCCCGGUAAGAUGAGGCAACUCACACAACUCCAAUCAUUAACACUGUUAGAAUGCAGAAGUAUGACAUCAUUGCCAGAAUGGUUAGGAGAACUCACCUCUCUCACAAAACUUGAAAUUGUGUGUUGCCCUGGCAUCACGACUUUGCCACACAGCAUACAACAGCUCACAAACCUCCAACAAUUGGAAAUUCGUGACUGCCAUCGAUUAAGCAUGUGGUGUGAAGCAGAGGAAAACAAGAUCAAGCUUGCUCAUAUAGGACAAAUGCGUACUGAAGACAAAGCCACUCCGAGAGAGCCAGGGGAGCAAGCAGAGCCAGCAGAGCCGCAACAUAGUGGCCGUAUGAGAUUCUGA
RNAcentral lists this ribosomal RNA (3615 nucleotides) under Triticum aestivum (bread wheat). RNAcentral describes it as "partial small subunit ribosomal RNA". Lineage: Eukaryota; Viridiplantae; Streptophyta; Magnoliopsida; Poales; Poaceae. The record is from RNAcentral.